CCCCGGAGGACAGGAACCGCAGCCUCACCGACAUGGCCGUCACCUAUGCAGGGAGAGGACAGGAGAGUCAGCCUCGCACCGCCGCCUGAUAAAGAAAUUGAGGCUCAGAGAGGCGAGGAAAGGACUCAUCCAAGGUCUCACAGGCAAGCACGCCGGGAGCGGUCACCUGACUGGCCCGGAUGGCCCAGAGGUGAAUGGAAGG
Long non-coding RNA from Ailuropoda melanoleuca (giant panda), 202 nucleotides. RefSeq lists it as uncharacterized. The transcript has 3 exons. Lineage: Eukaryota; Metazoa; Chordata; Mammalia; Carnivora; Ursidae. The record is from RefSeq and is a predicted model, not a curated record.